UACGUAGGAUGCGAGCGUUGUCCGGAUUCACUGGGUGUAAAGGGAGCGCAGGCGGGUCGGUAAGUCAUUGGUGAAAUUCCCGGGCUCAACCCGGGGACUGCCACUGAUACUGCCGGUCUUGAGUGUGGAAGAGGUUGGUGGAAUUCAUGGUGUAGCGGUGAAAUGCGUAGAUAUCAUGAAGAACACCGAUGGCGAAGGCAGCCAACUGGUCCAUUACUGACGCUCAUGCUCGAAAGCGUGGGGAU
Molecule: ribosomal RNA, 245 nt
Filed under: uncultured bacterium
Lineage: Bacteria
Description: partial 16S ribosomal RNA
Rfam family: Bacterial small subunit ribosomal RNA
Source: RNAcentral